This 8501-nucleotide long non-coding RNA is filed under the name Marmota monax (woodchuck). The record is from RNAcentral. Lineage: Eukaryota; Metazoa; Chordata; Mammalia; Rodentia; Sciuridae.
GGGGAUAAGACUGUCCAGGAAGGCGAUAAAGAAGAGCGUAGAAAAUAGAACCAUGCAAAUUCAAAAUUGAAACUGAGAAGGAGAACUCAGAAACUAAAAAGGAAUAGCUAGCAAAAAAGGGGAGGUAGUAUCCCAGAAGAAAAACACUGCGGGAGUGAGGGGUUGAAAAGAAUACAGCCAACUGCAGCAUCCAGUGGUGCAACAAGCUUAAGUAAUAGGAGAAUAAAAACGUGCUCAGAGAUGCUGGCCACUGAGAUUUCAUGGUGGGCUUAAAGAGAGCAUUCUUGGAAGGCUGACGUGGCUGAGAGAAUAGGAAGAAGAGUCAGUGAACAUAAACAACACUUAUGAAAGCAUCUGAUGAUGGGCUGGGAGGGGCGUAGUGAAGGGUCUGAACAAGAGAAUAGGUUGAGGGAACAGACCAUCUUUCCAUUUUUGGAAAUAAAAUUUUGUUUCUGAUAUAAAUACAGGGAUUUAAUCUGAAAUGCUUCUGUAGUACGUUAAGUUAGAAGGUUUCAAGGCUAUAGCUUUACAAUGACAAAAUAGAAAUAAAUAGACAAAAUCAAUGUAAUUAGCCACUUGAAAUAAUUUAUCUUAAGCUUACACACCAGCAUCUAAUGUUUUUUGAGUGCUAAUAGAUUUAAUUUGCUCUGGUUAAAAUUUUUCAAUAAAUACCCAUUAAAUAUCAUAAAUACUAAUUACAUUUUUUUCUGUGAAUAUUUUAUAUUCUGUACUCUGUUGAUGAUAUAUGCCAUGUGUAAUGUUUAGUUUAACAUUAAGUUAGAAUGAAUCUUCUUCAGAAUAUGCUAGCAUAUUUCUUAGAAAUACAAGAAACAUUUUCCCUAUGAUAGACAUUUUUGAAUGGAACUUUUAUAAAUACUAACACUAAAGGUGAAGACAACUUCUGUAAAUUAGAAUCAGUAUUAAUGUUAAAUGUUAUGGUUUAGAAAUAGAAACAAGUAUAAAAAGUCACAAAAGUUGUUGUUACAAACUAUCUUAAAAGGAUUUCUAUUUCUACUGCUAGAGCCUGCCAUGAAGGAAAUGGUGAUCAGAUACUUCAAAUUUGAUUUUAGAUUUAAACAACUUGAGAAAACUGCAGUUACUCAUGACUCCCUUUAUCCAAAAGUUCUACAUUCCCGUAUUUUUUAAGGGCGUAUCCUGGGUUCCCUUCUCUUUUCUGAUUAUCAUUCUUAAAGCUUGGUGUAUUGCCUGUAUUCACUCCUGAUGAGGAGUGAAUUUAUAUUUCUAGCAAACACCAGUAAUCUGAAUUAAUGGAUCUAAUGCCUCUUUCUCCUCCUUUUCCUCUACCUUCUGCUCCUACUUCACAACCACUUUAGUUUAAUCGAAAAAUAAUUGACAUUUAAUAUUGACAAUAUACGUUUUGGGUAUGAAAAGUAGUACAACCCCACUGGAAAACAGUUUGGCAACUUCCUAAAAAUUUAAACAUGUGCCUACCUUACAAUUCAGCCAUUUCAUUCCUAGGUAUUUUUUUCAAGAGAAAUUGAAAUGUAUGUCCAUACAAAGGCUUAUAUAUAAAUGGCUAUAGCAACUUUAAAACUUUAAAACUGUAAAAACACAAAUGCCCAAAAGUGAAUGAAUAAGGUUCAUUUUGAGUAAGGGAAUGUGACAUAUUCCUACAAUGGAAUACCACUGCUCAACAAUAAGGAAUGAAUUGAUGAUGCACAUGAAAUAUGGAUGAAUCUUAAAAGAUAUGUUGAGUGAAAAAAGCCAGGUAAAAGUAUCAAACUUUUUUCCAAUGACUAUUUAAAUUUACCUUGCUGAUUUGUAUUUUAUGACCUAUAGUCCAGAAUGUUUCUGAGUACUACGGGAACAUUUCAUUUAUUAUAUCAAAUGAUUUCAUUUAUAUGAAAGUUUAGAAUAUAUAAGCUGAUAUAUAACAACAUAAAGCAUAUUUUGGUUGCCUGGGGACUUUUGAGGGAAUGGGGAGAGUGGGAGAAAUUGCAGAAGGCUCCAGAAAUAUUUUGGGCAAUCAUUACAUCCCUUGUUCUGCUUGUGGUAAUAAUUUUAUGACUGAACACAUAAGUCAAAACCUACAAAUUGUACAAUUUAAAUAUGUGCAGCGUAUUAUAUGUCAAUUUCUCUUUUAUUAAGCCAAAAAGAAAAGGUAAGAUUAGAAGGAGGAGGAGGAGAAGGAGGAAAAAAGUAGAGCCAUAAAUUUAGAGUAGUGGUAUUUGCUAGAAAUAUAAAUUAAGCCAGGUGCAAUGGUGCACACCUGUAAUCCCAGCAACUGGAGAGGCUGAGGUGGGAAGACUGCAAGUUUGAGGUCAUCCUUGGCAACUCAACGAGGACCUAAGCAACUCAGCAGGACCCUAUCUCAAUUUUUAAAAAAGUAAAAAAGCUCUGGGGAUGGUGGUAAAGUAUUCCUGGGUUCAAUCCUCAGUGCUCCUCCCCCCAAAAAAAUUCAGUCCUCACCAAUGUGUAAAGCUUUUGUGAAUGAAUGAAACCACCUACAUAGAAAUUAGUCAGAAAAGAGAAGGGGAUCCAGGGUACAGUUUCAAGAAAGACCAAAAUGUAAACGUUUAGGGUGAAGCCCAGUGUAAUGGUGCAUGCCUGUAAUCCCAGUGACUCAGGAGUGUGAGACAAGAAGAUCACAAGUUCAAAGGCAGCCUAAGCAAUUUAGCAAGGCCCCAAGCAACUCAGUGAGACCCUGUCUCUGAAAUACAAAAUAGGGCUGAGGGUGUGGUUCAGUGGGCAAGUGUCCCUGAGUUCAAUCCCUGGUACAUAAAGAAAGAAAGGAAGGAAGGGAAAGAGGGAGCGAGGAAAGAAAGAUAGUUUAGGAUGAAAGGUGGAGGGAGGAGUCAUGACAAAUUGUUCAGUUUUCUUGAAUUCUUUAAAUCCAAAAUCAAAUUUGAAGCAUAUGAUCAUCAUUUCAUUCACUGCAGACUGUACCAGUAGGAACACACAUCCCUUUAAGAGAGUUUGUAACUUUUGUAACACGGAUGGCUUUUAUAGUCAUUCUUAUUACUAAACUGUAGUUUGUUGCUCCCCUUCCUUGUCAACACUUAAUAUGGCUAAUAUUAUAACUUUAAUUCUCAUAGAUGUGUGGUGUUAUUUAUGUGAUUUUCUUUUGCAUAUCUCUAAUAACCAAUGAUGGUAAACAUGUUUUCUGUGCUUAUUUGCUGUCUAUAUUCAUUUUGGGUAAAGUGUUUGUUCAAUUCUUCUGUCAUUUUUAAAUUGGGUGAAUUAUUGUCUUAAUUUUGAGUUUUAAGAAAAAUGGAACAUAAUUGUUUUCCCUGGAUAUAAAUUAUUUAGCAGAUAUAUACUUUGCAAAUACUUUCUUCCAUUCAGGGUUUUUUCUUCAUUGUCUUUCAAGAAACAGACAUCUUUAAUUUUGAUGACAUACAACUACAAUUUUUCUGGAUUUUUGCAUCAUGCUUUUGGUGUCAUAUCUGAAAAUUAUUUGCCUAAACAAGGUCACAUUGAUUUUUUUACUUGUACAAGUUUUAAAGUUUUACAUCCUAUGUUGAGGCUUAGGUUCAUUUUGAAUUUUGAAUUAAUUUUUUUUAUGGUUUGAGAUAUAUAUGAAUUUAUUUUCCUGAACAUACAUAUGCAAUGGUUCCAGAAUUAUUUUUUGAAAAGGAAUUUUUCUUAACUGAAUUUUCUCUUCACAUUUGUCAAAGUGAUAGUUAUCUAUAUAUGUAAAGUUUUACUUCCGCACUCUCCAUCCUGUUCCAUAGAUUUGUUUAUUUAUUUUCAUGCCAAAACCAUACUGUUCAUUUUAUCUAUCUUGACAUUAGGCAGUGUUAAUCUUCAAAUUUUUUUUAAAGUUGUUUUGGCUAAUAUAGGUCUUUCCAUUUCCAUAUGAAUUUUUAAAUUAGGUCAGUGAAGUUCUCUUUUUUAAUUAUCUUUUUUUUAGCAUUUCAUUUUGAUUAUUCCUAUUGCCAUAUUUUCAAGUCCAUGAAUCUUUUAUCCUGUGAUGACUAAUCUGCUGUUCAUCUAAUUUGAUGUAUAACAUUUUUAUCUUGGUCAUUAUGGUUUUCGUCUCUGAAAGUUUUAUUUUGUCAUUUUCAUAUCUCCCAUAUCUUUACUUCAGUUUCUUAAAAUGUGGGAAAAUAGUCUUGUGUGCUAACCCUAACAUCUGUGUCAUUUCUGGGUUGGGUUCAGUUGAUUAAUUUUAUUCUUGGUUUUUAAAAUUUCUUGUGAAUGAGUCAUAAUUUCCUACUUCUUUGUAUGACUGGUAGUUUUUUAUUAGAUGCCAGGCAUUGUGCAUUUUACCUUCUUGGAUGUUGUAUAUUUUUGUAUUCUCAUAAAUAUUUUUGAGCUUUGUUCUGGGGAAUAGUUAAAUUAUUUGGAAAUAAUUUGAUCCUUUCUUUUCUUACAUUCUAGAUUUGUUAAGUGGGACCAGAGCUGUGUUUAGUCUACUGCAUCCCAUUGUUGGGAAAAGAUCCUCCAAAGUGCUUACCCACUGCCUUGGAAACAUGAGGUUUUCCUGUCUAGUUGGUAUGAGAAGAACUUUUCCCAGCCCUAUGUAAACUCCAAGAACCAUUGUCUCUAAUCCUUUUAGUUUUUUUUUCCUAGUCCUGAGGGGGGAAUGAUCACAUGUUACAUGCAUAUGACGAUCAGUGUUCCCCUGAAUGAUCUAGAAGAGUUCUCUUCAGAUUUCCACACUUGUAUCUCAGUGCAGCUCUCCCCUGUCCACCGUGUAGAAGCUCCUUCCGCCCUGUGCCAUCCUGUAGAAACUCUCUCAGGGAUAUAAGUGAAUCUUAUAGCUUUUUGACAUCUCCUUUUGGAUGACCCAUAGCCAUCCCAAACUUAAUAUACCUAAAGUGGAAUUUCUCUCUGAAAACUUUUCUCCUUUUAUUAACCUCUCAAUAUGUAGUAUAACAACCAGACGGUUGCUUAAACUUGAGCCUAGAAGUCAUUCUCCAUUAUGACCCACAUCCUGCCCUUCAAUAAAUCAUGGAUUAGGCCUUUAAGUUAUAUCUUCAAUUCAUUUACUUCUCUUCAUUUCCACUUCUGUCAUCCUAGUCGAGGGCACAGUUGUCUCCCCUGAUAUUAUUGCAGUGAUCUUCUGCUUGUUUUCUAUGUUUCCUCCUCUGUUCUGCCAUAGUCAUUCAUCAUAUAGAUGCAUUUAUGCUUCUUUAAAAUCCUUCAAAAUAUUUCUGGUUAAAUAAAAAUCCAAACUCCUCACGACAUCUCACAAAAUACAAAGGAUUUGAUCAGCCUUUUCCUGAGCAGUUAUCCUGGCCAUGGUUGGCAUAUUACCCUCUUUACUUUCUAGCAAACAUGGAGCUCUUUCCAAUAUGAGGGACUUGCCACCAUGUGGACUGUCUAUCUGCUAGUUUUGUGGUAUAGCUGAUACUCAUGUAUCCUUUAAAUCUUGACUUAAAUAACUCCUCUGUAGGCAAGCUUUCAAUAAUUUUUUUCCAAUUAACUAUGUCUUCAUGCUAUUUACCAUCAUAGUACCUGGCUAUUAUCUUUAUGGAAUUUGAUCAUUUUAUAAUUAUACUUUGUAAUUAUAUAGCUCUUUUUCUGUCUGUCUCUCCACUAGAUUUUAAAAUUUGGAGGAUCUAAACCAUUUCUUUUUUUCUCACCAUUAUAUACUUAUUAAUUAAUGGUGAUGAUCAUGUGUAGCAGGAAUUCAAUACCUUGUUCAUUGAAUGAAUGUAAUUAUUGAAUUAAAAUUACAUUUGGUGUGAUUUCCGAGUGCUAGAAAGACUAUCAUUGUUAAUUUUCUAUUGGUAACCAAAAUCAAUUAGAGCUGUAAUAAUGAAAACAUCGUGGUAUUGACAUAAAAAAAAGACACAGAGACUAAUGGAACAGAAUGGAGUACUGGGAAAUAACCUCAUAAAUUUUCUGCCAACUGAGUCUUCACCAAGGUACCAAAAACAUACAUUGGAGAAAGGACAGCCUCUUCAAAAGUUGGUAUUGGUGUUGGAAAAACUGAAUAUUCACAUGCAGAAUAUUGAAACUUGACCCCUAUCUCUCACUCUAUACAAAAAUCAACUAAAAAUGGAUCAAGUUCUAAAUAUAAGACCUGAAACUAUGAAGCUACCAAAAAUAAAUAAACAAAUAAAUGAAAACCAAAAAAAAAAAAACAUAGUGGAAACACUUCAAGAUAUCAGUCCAGGCAAUGAGCAUUUGAAUAAGAUCCCCAAAGCACAGGAAACAAAAGCAAAACUACACAAACGGGGUCAUGUCAAACUAAGAAGUUUCUAUGCAUCAAAGAAAACAAUCAAUACAAUGAAAAGACAGCCUACAGAAUGAGAAGAAUAUAUAUAUGUCAGAUAUUCAUCUGACAAAGAUUAGUAUCCAGAAUAUAGAAGGAAUUUAAAAAAUGACAACAGUAGUAAACCCCAAAUAAUCCAAUUAAAAAGUGGGUAAAGUAUGAGAAUGGACAGUUUUCCAAAGAAAGAAUUUAAAUGGCCAGCUAAUUUAUGCAAAAAUGCUCAGUUUCAUUAGUCAUCUGGGGACUGAAAAUCAAAAUCUCAGUGAGAUCAUCUCACCCCAGAUAAAACAUCUGUUUAACAAAUGCAGGAGAUGAUGUGGAGUAAAAGGAACUCAUAUAUUCAAUUGAUGAGAAUGUAAACUGGUACAGCCACUAUGGAGAAUAGUGUGAAUGUUCCUCAAUAAACUAAAAAUCUACUAUAUGAUCUGGCUAUCCUACUUCUGAGUAUAUAUCCAAGGGAAAAGCUAUCAGAAUACCAGAGACACCUGCAUGCCAUGUUUAUUGCUGCACUAUUCACAUAGUUGAGAAAUGGAAUUAACCCAAAUGCCCAUCAGCAGAUGAAUGGAUAAAGAAAUGGUGGUGUGUGUGUGUCCACAAAUGCAUACUAUAUACACAGUGAAAUACUACUUGGUCAUUAAAAGAAUGAUAUCCCAUCAUCAUGUUUAGCAAAAUGGACCAAACUGGAGAACAUUAUGUUAUAUGAAAUGACCUAGACACAGAAAAAGAAAUGCUGCAUGGUCUUUCUUAUAUGUGGAUAUUAAAAGAAAUCAAUCAGAAUAUAUAAUAGUGAUUAUUAGAGGCUGGGAAAUUGGGGAGGGAAGGGUAGAGGGAAGUUGGAUGAUUAGUAUACAAUUACAGUAAGGUAGAUGUAAUGAGCUCUAAUGUUCAUAGCACAUGGGGUGACUGUAGUUCACAGUAUCCUAUUAAAUAUUUUAUGAAUAGCCAAGUGUGUGGCACAUGCUUUUAAUCCCAGUUUAGGAGGCUGAGGCAGGAGGAUCUCAAGUGCAAAGCCAGCCUCAGCAACUUAGUGAAACCCGAGGCAAUUCAGUGAGACCCAGUCUCUAAAUAAAAUACAAAAUAAAAAAGGGCUGGGAAUGUGGCUCAGUGAUUAAGUGCCUUUGGGUUUAAUCCCCAGUGUGGGCAGGGGGGUGGGGAAUGAAUAACUCAAACUGAGAAGCUAGAAAGCUAAAAACAAAGUAAAGAUAAGGAGAUAGAAAUGUUAUUUACCUAAUUUGAUCAUCACAUUUUGUAUACAUGUACUGAAAUAUACUCUAACCCAUAAAUGUGUAUAAUUGUUAUGUUAAUCAAAAAAUUUUUAAAGAAUUAAGGAGAUGGAAAUGCUAACAAGCCUAGUUUGAUCAUUGCACACUGUAUAUACGUAAUGAAUUAUUACAUUGUAUCUCAUAAUUUGCAAAUAAAUAAUAAUAAACAUUUUAAAAGCGAAAAUGCUACCUUCAUAUAUGAAAAUGUCAAGAUUCUGUGAUUUGCCAGAUAUUUAGUAGCUAAUGUUUGCCGGCUGAUGACCAGUCCAGCUCUCAUAUAAUAUUAGAACAGAUAAAAGCAGCUGUUAAACUCAUCCUAAGUUGAAAAUAUUAAGUUGAAAGUGCAUCUAUUACAUUUGACCUGCCAAACGGUCUGGCUUAGCAGCACAGUUCACCAUAGAGCACUGGUUGUUGCCCUUGUGAUCAGGGGCAUGACUGGGAGUUGUAACUUACUACUGCUCUUGCCCAACAUUGCAAGAGAAUAUCAUGCCCCAUAUCACUAGCCCAGGAAAAGAUUCAAAUUCAAAAUCUGAAGCAUUGUUUCUAAUGAAUGUGUAUCAGCUUAGCACCAUUUUAAAGCUGAAAGUCCUAAAUCAGGUUAUUGUAGGCUGGGGGCCAUUUAUAGACUGCAGAGGCGAGAUUUGGAACAGUGAGACUACUGAAGAGGCUAUUUUAGUAAUCCAUGGGAUUAAGGUGGCUUGGACCAGGGACAUGACCCUGAAGGUACUAAAAACAAGUGAAAUUCUGGUUAUAUUUUGAAGAUGGAGCUGACAGUCCUUAUACCAGGUUGGAUAUAGGCAUGAGAGAAAGAGAAAGAGUUUCUUAUGCAUAUGUCUGAGAUGUUGUGCUUGGAUCAACCAGAAAGAUGGGUUUGUUGCUAACAGAGAAGGGGAAGCUGCUAGAAGAGCAGGUUUUGAAAGAGUAAUCCAGAGUUUAGACAAGUAAAUGUGAAGAUAACUUAUAACCAUCUCUAUGGAGAUAUCAAGAAAUCAGCUCUAUGUUUUCUCUGAUAUAAGGAGGUUGAAUCAUAGUGGGGUAGGGAGUGGGAGCAU